RNAcentral lists this ribosomal RNA (766 nucleotides) under Anaplecta sp. 7 ZQW-2020. RNAcentral's name for it is "12S ribosomal RNA". The record is from RNAcentral. Lineage: Eukaryota; Metazoa; Arthropoda; Insecta; Blattodea; Anaplectidae.
GUUAAAGGUUAAAAGGAAGGGUAAGUUUGAUUCUUGCUUGAUCAUUGGUUAUUAAUAUGUUUUAUAUGUAAAGUUUCUCUUAAUGGUUUAAUUUUUGAAUUUGCAAUAUUUUUAAUUGAAUAUCAAGGGGUCUUGGAUUUGGUAAUAUUUUUUUGUAUUGGUUAAUUUUGUGCCAGCAACCGCGGUUAUACAUUAGAUACUAAUCAAUGAUUUUCAUUUUGUAGUUCUUGAAUUUUUAGGGAUUUGUUUUAUUUUUUUAGGUGGAAUUAGAAUUUUAUUUUUUGUUUGGUAAGCUACGAAGCUCUUUAUUUAGACUAGGAUUAGAUACCCUAUUAUUUUGAGUGUAAAAUUUAUUUUGAGUAGUAUUAGUUAUGUUCUUGAAACUUAAAGAAUUUGGCGGUAUUUUAGUCCAUUUAGAGGAACCUGUCUUGUAAUCGAUAUUCCACGUUGAACCUUUCUUUGAUUAUCUUUGUAUACCUCCGUUAUGAGAAGAUUUUUAUAGGAUUAUAAUUUUCUUUAUUUUUUAUGAAAUUUUAUUUCAGGUCAAGGUGCAGGUUAUAUCUAAGUUUUGAUGGGUUACAUUGUUUUCUAUUUUUUUUUGGUUUUAUUUUGUAAAGUUUAGGUAAAUUGGAUUUAAUUGUAAUUUUAUAUAGAUUAUUAUUUUGGAAUGGCUCUAUAAUAUGUACACAUCGCCCGUCACUCUCGUUUAUUUUAUGAGAAAAGUCGUAACAUAGUGGUCGUACCGGAAGGUGUGGCUGGGAUUAAU